ACCCAUUUGUCACCUCAACCUGGCAGCCUAUAACCCACUUCGCGGAAAGUUCAGACCCAAAAGCCAGC
Etheostoma spectabile (orangethroat darter) is the source of this 68-nucleotide long non-coding RNA. RefSeq lists it as uncharacterized. The record is from RefSeq and is a predicted model, not a curated record. The transcript has 2 exons. Lineage: Eukaryota; Metazoa; Chordata; Actinopteri; Perciformes; Percidae.